This 527-nucleotide ribosomal RNA is filed under the name uncultured bacterium. Its description in RNAcentral is "bacterial SSU rRNA". It matches the Rfam family "Bacterial small subunit ribosomal RNA", at positions 778 to 1304 of the family's 1533-position model. The record is from RNAcentral.
AUAGAUCCCCGGUAGUCCACGCCGUAAACGAUGAGUGCUAAGUGUUAGAGGGUUUCCGCCCUUUAGUGCUGCAGCUAACGCAUUAAGCACUCCGCCUGGGGAGUACGGUCGCAAGACUGAAACUCAAAGGAAUUGACGGGGGCCCGCACAAGCGGUGGAGCAUGUGGUUUAAUUCGAAGCAACGCGAAGAACCUUACCAGGUCUUGACAUCCCACUGACCGGUAUAGAGAUAUACCUUUCCCUUCGGGGACAGUGGUGACAGGUGGUGCAUGGUUGUCGUCAGCUCGUGUCGUGAGAUGUUGGGUUAAGUCCCGCAACGAGCGCAACCCUUGAUCUUAGUUGCCAGCAUUUAGUUGGGCACUCUAAGGUGACUGCCGGUGACAAACCGGAGGAAGGUGGGGAUGACGUCAAAUCAUCAUGCCCCUUAUGACCUGGGCUACACACGUGCUACAAUGGAUGGUACAAAGGGCUGCAAGACUGCGAAGUCAAGCCAAUCCCAUAAAACCAUUCUCAGUUCGGAUUGCAGG